GACGAACCGUGCAAACGUUGUUCGGAUUCACUGGGCUUAAAGGGUGCGUAGGUGGGUAGGUAAGUCAGUGGUGAAAUCUUCGAGCUUAACUCGGAAACUGCCAUUGAUACUAUUUAUCUUGAAUACUCUGGAGGUAAGCGGAAUAUGUCAUGUAGCGGUGAAAUGCUUAGAUAUGACAUAGAACACCAAUUGCGAAGGCAGCUUACUACAUAGUUAUUGACACUGAGGCACGAAAGCGUGGGGAUCAAACAGG
RNAcentral lists this ribosomal RNA (253 nucleotides) under uncultured bacterium. Its description in RNAcentral is "partial 16S ribosomal RNA". It matches the Rfam family "Bacterial small subunit ribosomal RNA", at positions 524 to 776 of the family's 1533-position model. The record is from RNAcentral.